AUGACAUUUGGAACUCCCCAUCUUCCUUGUUCUGUUCCUCCUGGCUCUCCCAAGCUCCGGGCGGCCGUGACCCUGCUGGAGUCCGGGGGGGACCUCCAGCCCCCCGGGGGGGCCCUGCUCCUCACUUGCCACGCCUCUGGGUUUGAUUUUGGCAAAUUCGGGAUUGUCUGGAUCCGCCAGAGACCCGGGCAGGGGCUGCAAUGGGUCGCAGGGAUCAACAGCGAUGGUUCCAGCACCGGCUACACGCCGUCAGUCAACGGCCGGUUCACGAUCGCCCGGGUCAAAGGGCAGAGCUCGGUGACGCUGACCAUGGCCAACCUCCAGGACGAGGAUUCCGGAUCCUAUUUCUGCACCAAAACUCUCGGUGCUGGUUGGGGCGGUGCUGUUUGA
Molecule: non-coding RNA, 390 nt
Organism: Motacilla alba alba
Lineage: Eukaryota; Metazoa; Chordata; Aves; Passeriformes; Motacillidae
Source: the annotation of a RefSeq genome assembly